Molecule: unclassified non-coding RNA, 384 nt
Filed under: Scleria brownii
Lineage: Eukaryota; Viridiplantae; Streptophyta; Magnoliopsida; Poales; Cyperaceae
Description: sequence contains ITS1, 5.8S rRNA gene, ITS2
Rfam family: 5.8S ribosomal RNA (bases 1-120)
Source: RNAcentral
GAUGAAGAACGUAGCGAAAUGCGAUACGUGGUGUGAAUUGCAGAAUCCCGCGAACCAUCGAGUUUUUGAACGCAAGUUGCGCCCGAGGGACCUGCCGAGGGCACGCCUGCCUCAUGGGCGUCAUACGCCUAUCGACGCCCAGGAUCCCGGCCCUGUUCCUCGUGACGGGCCUGUCCUGAUGCGGAUCGUGGCCCUCCGAGCCCCGACGGCGCGGCGGGCCCAAGUGUGCCUCGGUCGGAUGUGGCCGGGAGCGGCGAGUGGUGGGUUCUGCUCGCGCUGCCCUGUGCCUUUCCCGGCGUCGGGCGUUUUGUCGGACCCACGGACGAGGAAGGAGGAUGUCGGCCUCCUCGGACCAAUACCCCAGGUCAGGCGGGGCUACCCGCC